RNAcentral lists this ribosomal RNA (460 nucleotides) under uncultured bacterium. RNAcentral's name for it is "partial 16S ribosomal RNA". It matches the Rfam family "Bacterial small subunit ribosomal RNA", at positions 338 to 795 of the family's 1533-position model. The record is from RNAcentral.
CCUACGGGAGGCAGCAGUGAGGAAUAUUGGUCAAUGGGCGCGAGCCUGAACCAGCCAAGUAGCGUGAAGGAUGACUGCCCUACGGGUUGUAAACUUCUUUUAUCAAGGCAUAAAGUGAUGCACGUGUCCCUUUUUGUGUGUACUUUAUGAAUAAGGAUCGGCUAACUCCGUGCCAGCAGCCGCGGUAAUACGGAGGAUCCGAGCGUUAUCCGGAUUUAUUGGGUUUAAAGGGAGCGGAGAUGGGUUGUUAAGUCAGUUGUGAAAAGUUGCGGCGCAACCGUAAAAGUGCAAUUGAUACUGGCAGCCUUGAGUACAGUUGAGGUAGGCGGAAUUCGUGGUGUAGCGGUGAAAUGCUUAGAUAUCACGAAGAACUCCGAUUGCGAAGGCAGCCUACGAAACUGCCACUGACAUUGAUGCUCGAAAGUGUGGGUAUCAAACAGGAUUAGAUACCCCAGUAGUC